This 253-nucleotide ribosomal RNA is filed under the name uncultured bacterium. Its description in RNAcentral is "partial 16S ribosomal RNA". It matches the Rfam family "Bacterial small subunit ribosomal RNA", at positions 524 to 776 of the family's 1533-position model. The record is from RNAcentral.
GACGAACCGUGCGAACGUUGUUCGGAAUUACUGGGCGUAAAGGGCUCGUAGGCGGCCAACUAAGUCAGACGUGAAAUCCCCGGGCUCAACCCGGGAACUGCGUCCGAUACUGGCAGGCUUGAAUUCGGGAGAGGGAUGCGGAAUUCCAGGUGUAGCGGUGAAAUGCGUAGAUAUCUGGAGGAACACCGGUGGCGAAGGCGGCAUCCUGGACCGAGAUUGACGCUGAGGCGCGAAAGCCAGGGGAGCAAACGGG